AAAAAUCGUUAGGCGCUA
RNAcentral lists this microRNA (18 nucleotides) under Rehmannia glutinosa. Its description in RNAcentral is "rgl-miR5138". The record is from miRBase by way of RNAcentral. Lineage: Eukaryota; Viridiplantae; Streptophyta; Magnoliopsida; Lamiales; Orobanchaceae.